Molecule: ribosomal RNA, 465 nt
Filed under: uncultured bacterium
Lineage: Bacteria
Description: partial 16S ribosomal RNA
Rfam family: Bacterial small subunit ribosomal RNA
Source: RNAcentral
GACGAACGCUGGCGGCGUGCUUAACACAUGCAAGUCGAACGGAAAGGCCCUGCUUGCAGGGUACUCGAGUGGCGAACGGGUGAGUAACACGUGGGUGAUCUGCCCUGCACUUCGGGAUAAGCCUGGGAAACUGGGUCUAAUACCGGAUAGGAGCCAUUUUUAGUGUGAUGGUUGGACAGUUUUUUCGGUGUAGGAUGAGCUCGCGGCCUAUCAGCUUGUUGGUGGGGUAAUGGCCUACCAAGGCGGCGACGGGUAGCCGGCCUGAGAGGGUGGACGGCCACCUUGGGACUGAGAGACGGCCCAGGCGCCUACGGGAGGCAGCAGUGGGGAAGCUUGCACCAUGGGCGCAAGCCGGAUGCAGCGACGCCGCGUGGGGGAUGACGGCCUUCGGGUUGUAAACUCCUUUCGCUAGGGACGAAGCUUUUUGUGACGGUACCUAGAUAAGAAGCACCGGCUAACUACGUG